This 428-nucleotide ribosomal RNA is filed under the name uncultured archaeon. RNAcentral describes it as "bacterial SSU rRNA". It matches the Rfam family "Archaeal small subunit ribosomal RNA", at positions 474 to 903 of the family's 1478-position model. The record is from RNAcentral.
UACCUGCAGCUCAAGUGGUGACCGCUAUUAUUGGGCCUAAAACGUCCGUAGCCGGCUGAGUAAAUGCUUGGGUAAAUCGUGUAGCUUAACUAUACGAAUUCCGGGUAGACUGCUUAGCUUGAGAUCGGGAGAAGCUAGAGGUACUCCUGGGGUAGGGGUGAAAUUCUGUAAUCCUGGGGGGACCACCAGUGGCGAAGGCGUCUAGCUAGAACGGGUCUGACGGUGAGGGACGAAACCCUGGGGCGCAAACCGGAUUAGAUACCCGGGUAGUCCAGGGCGCAAACGCUGCUUGCUUGAUGUUAGUCGGGCUCCGAGCUCGACUAGUGUCGGAGAGAAGUUGUUAAGCAAGCUGCCUGGGAAGUACGAUCGCAAGAUUGAAACUUAAAGGAAUUGGCGGGGAGCACAGCAACGGGUGGAGCGUGCGGUUU